UUAUCUGCCCAGUAUCUGAAAUUACUUUUCCUUGGGCAGGAGAGCAGCUUGGUAGUGGAGCAGUGCCCCCAAGUACCACAUCAAAAUAUUAAGAAGAGAAACAGAAUAUAGGAAGUUAUCCGUAUACACAUUGUAUGCCAGCGGGAUGGAAGGACAUGGGGAGAGAGCACCUGUGAGGCAUUACCUCCCCUGGGACACUGGAGGACAGCUCUCCUGGACAGCGGUGUCACCACAGGUUCUGCCAGCGUAGAUUGGGAGUGAGGCUUUCAUGCAGCCCUGUUGGUUCCCUUGGUGGCCGCCAUGGGGAGCUGAGGAGUCCAGCAGUGUAUUUCCAUCACACCUGGGAGUAAUUCCAGGUGAUGCCGAAGAAUCACCUAGGACACUUCCAGGACCUGUUAAAGGCGUGCUUGCCACUACUGAAAGGAAAGCGACCAUCAGGAUGCAGAAGACACAGCUUACCUGAAAGGGAGUGGACAUGAAAGCAAGAAGAAUAAGUCGACCUUAUGAGGUUUUGAACUGUAAGAACAGAACCGUACUGUCACGCUGGAAAUGAAGUGGAGUAGUUCCAAUGGGAGAAAAGUAAUAAAACGAGUGUUGUGUGCUUAAA
This is a long non-coding RNA of Polypterus senegalus (gray bichir), 607 nucleotides long. RefSeq lists it as uncharacterized. Lineage: Eukaryota; Metazoa; Chordata; Cladistia; Polypteriformes; Polypteridae. The transcript has 2 exons. The record is from RefSeq and is a predicted model, not a curated record.